This 578-nucleotide ribosomal RNA is filed under the name uncultured bacterium. RNAcentral's name for it is "bacterial SSU rRNA". It matches the Rfam family "Bacterial small subunit ribosomal RNA", at positions 28 to 638 of the family's 1533-position model. The record is from RNAcentral.
AAUCAACGCUGGCGGCGUGCCUAACACAUGCAAGUCGAACGAGAAAGUGGAGCAAUCCAUGAGUAAAGUGGCGUACGGGUGAGUAACACGUGACUAACCUACCCUUGAGUGGGGGAUAACUUCGGGAAACCGAGGCUAAUACCGCAUAAUACCUUCGGGUCAAAGGAGCAAUUCGCUUAAGGAGGGGGUCGCGGCUGAUUAGCUAGUUGGUAGGGUAAUGGCCUACCAAGGCAAUGAUCAGUAUCCGGCCUGAGAGGGCGCACGGACACACUGGAACUGAAACACGGUCCAGACUCCUACGGGAGGCAGCAGUGGGGAAUUUUGCACAAUGGGGGAAACCCUGAUGCAGCAACGCCGCGUGGAGGAUGAAGUCCCUUGGGAUGUAAACUCCUUUCGACCGGGACGAUAAUGACGGUACCGGUAGAAGAAGCCCCGGCUAACUCUGUGCCAGCAGCCGCGGUAAUACAGAGGGGGCAAGCGUUGUUCGGAAUUAUUGGGCGUAAAGGGUGCGUAGGCGGUGCGGUAAGUCUUCUGUGAAAUCUCCGGGCUCAACUCGGAGUCUGCAGGAGAAACUGCCG